RNAcentral lists this ribosomal RNA (253 nucleotides) under uncultured bacterium. RNAcentral's name for it is "partial 16S ribosomal RNA". It matches the Rfam family "Bacterial small subunit ribosomal RNA", at positions 524 to 776 of the family's 1533-position model. The record is from RNAcentral.
UACAGAGGAUGCAAGCGUUAUCCGGAAUGAUUGGGCGUAAAGCGUCUGUAGGUGGCUUUUCAAGUCCGCCGUCAAAUCCCAGGGCUCAACCCUGGACAGGCGGUGGAAACUACCAAGCUGGAGUACGGUAGGGGCAGAGGGAAUUUCCGGUGGAGCGGUGAAAUGCGUGGAUCUCGGGAGGAACACCAAUGGCGAAGGCAGCUUCUUGGCUCAUUCCUGACGUUGAGGCACGAAAGCGUGGGGAGCAAACAGG